This 478-nucleotide ribosomal RNA is filed under the name uncultured bacterium. RNAcentral describes it as "partial 16S ribosomal RNA". It matches the Rfam family "Bacterial small subunit ribosomal RNA", at positions 28 to 507 of the family's 1533-position model. The record is from RNAcentral.
GAUGAACGCUGGCGGCGUGCUUAACACAUGCAAGUCGAACGAGGAGUGAAGACGGAAACCUUCGGGCGGAAGGCUUUAUUUCGAGUGGCGGACGGGUGAGUAACGCGUGGGUAACCUGCCUCAUACAGGGGGAUAACAGUUGGAAACGACUGUUAAUACCGCAUAAGACCACAGCACCGCAUGGUGCGGGGGUAAAAACUCCGGUGGUAUGAGAUGGACCCGCGUUCGAUUAGCCAGUUGGCGGGGUAACGGCCCACCAAAGCGACGAUCGAUAGCCGAUCUGAGAGGAUGACCGGCCACAUUGGGACUGAGACACGGCCCAAACUCCUACGGGAGGCAGCAGUGGGGAAUAUUGCACAAUGGGGGAAACCCUGAUGCAGCGACGCCGCGUGAGUGAAGAAGUAUUUCGGUAUGUAAAGCUCUAUCAGCAGGGAAGAAAAUGACGGUACCUGAGUAAGAAGCCCCGGCUAACUACGUG